AGGUUUGUUUUUCUCCGGUACAGCCUGGUAGGGAGGGCUCCCGGCAUCUCCCUGCUUCGGGGCAGAGGAUGCCGGGGGUAGAGUACGGGAGGGCUGGAGCGAGGGUGGACUGGAGGUGCCGCUUGUCCUGGAGGUGGGAGAGAGGGAGCGGCUUUGCCGCCUGGCCUGCGUCCUAAUCCUGUCCUGGUUCUUCUGCUCCCGAAGGGAACGUAGGUCCCGCGCCUGUGAUAAAAUCUCGCUGUCUCCUUCCAACCACCUGUGGUCGGCAUCCCCGCGUUGUCACUGCGACGCAGAGGUCGCAGCUUCAUGGCCUGAUGCCUUCAGGAAGUAUUUUGAAGUCAUCGUGGCUGUGGAUUGGGGGAUUUCUUGUUUCCACUGACCUGUGAGGCCGCGCACGUGGAGGGAGGCACCCCGGGUCCUCCGGCACUGUCCGGCCUCGCCUGUGUCCCUAGUAGCAGUGGGCAUUUCCAGACGGUGCAGCUUGUGGCUAAAGUGACAGGAAGAUGUAGGAGCUUUCAGUCUUGGAUGAGGAUUCGAACUGAAGGGCUUAGGCCCAGCUGUCUUGGAGCAAAACAUCUGUUGUGGGAUGUGGCGGCAGAGGAGGGCAAGGCCGAAGGAGCAGACAGCACCGCUUCUUGGGGAGUUGUGAAGGCAUCAUGCGGAGGGCCGAGCUUAGCAGCCAAGUGGAGGACAGCACCCUCCAUGCCUGGAUUCGUUACUCGCUCGUUCUCGAUGUUGAGCUGCUGGCAUAUUGCAGCACAACUAGAGAUGUACGGAUGCCCCCAUCUUGAUCUUACAGAAUCAGAGGUGCAGCCGCAAGAAAGCUACACCCUCUCGGUUUUCUCUGCUCUGCCAACACUAGUGGAAUAUGAUCACAUCCCAGAGUUUCACUCUUUUUGCCCAGGCUGGAGUACAGUGGUGCGAUCUUGGCUCACUGCAACAUCUGCCUCCUGGAUUUUCAAGUGAUUCUCCUGUCUUAGCCUCCUGAGUAGCUGGGAUUACAGGGAUCAGUGUCAUUUAGGGAUGUGACUAUGGGCUUCACUCAAGAGGAGUGGCAUCAUCUGGACCCUGCUCAGAGGACCCUGUAGAGGAAUGUGAUGCUGGAGAACUACAGCCACCUUGUCUCAGUAGGGUAUUGCAUUCCUAAACCAGAAGUGAUCCUCAAAUUGGAGACAGGCAAGGAGCCAUGGAUAUUAGAGGAAAAAUUUCGAAGCCAGAGUCAUCUGGGUGAGUUAGUGCCAGAUGGAAUUUAAAGAAUUAAUUAAUACCAGUAGAAACUAUUCAAGAAUGAAGUUCAAUGAGUUUAACAAAGGUGGAAAAUGUUUCUGUGAUGAAAGCAUGAAAUAAUUCAUUUUGAAGAGGAACCUUCUGAAUAUAAUAACAAUGGGAACAGCUUCUGGCUGAAUGAAGACCUCAUUUGGCAUCAGAAGAUUAAAAAUUGGGAGCAACCUUUUGAAUACAAUGAAUGUGGGAAAGCUUUCCCUGAGAAUUCACUCUUCCUUGUACAUAAGAGAGCUUACACAGGACAGAAAACAUGCAAAUAUACUGAACAUGGGAAAACCUGUUAUAUGUCAUUUUUUAUUACUCAUCAGCAAACACAUCCAAGAGAGAACCACUAUGAAUGUAAUGAAUGUGGAGAAAGUAUCUUUGAGGAAUCCAUUCUCUUUGAACAUCAGAAUGUUUACCCAUUCAGCCAGAAUUUAAAUCCCACUCUAAUUCAGAGAACCCACUCAAUUAGCAAUAUUAUUGAAUAUAAUGAAUGUGGAACCUUUUUCAGUGAAAAAUUAGCCCUUCAUUUACAACAGAGAACACAUCCAGGGGAAAAACCUUAUGAAUGUCAUGAAUGUGGAAAAACCUUCACCCAGAAGUCAGCCCACACAAGACAUCAGAGAACACACACAGGGAAAACCCUAUGAAUGUCACGGAUGUGGGAAGACCUUCUAUAAGAAUUCAGACCUCAUUAGAAAUCAAAGAAUUCACACAGGGGAGAGACCUUACAGAUGUCAUGAAUGGAGAAAUCCUUCAGUGAAAAGUCAUCCCUUACUCAAAAUCAGAGAACACACGUGGGGAGAAAUCAUGAAUGUCAUGAAUGUGGGAAAACCUCGUUUAAGUCAGUUCUAACUGUGCAUCAGAAAACACACAGGGGAGAAGCCCUAUGAAUGCUAUGCAUGUGGCAACACCUUUCUCAGAAAAUCCGACCUCAUUAAACAUCAGAGAAUUCACACAGGAGAAAAACCUUAUGAAUGUAAUGAAUGUGGGAAGUCAUUCUCCGAGAAGUCAACCCUUACUAAACAUCUAAGAACACACAGAUGGGAAAUCUUAUGCAUGUAUUCAAUGUGGAAAAUUUUUCUGCUGCUACUACAGUUUCACAGAACAUCUGAGAAGACACACAGGGGAGAAACCUUUUGGAUGUAAUGAAUGUGGGAAAACCUUCCAUCAGAAGUUGGCCCUAAUUGUUCACCAGAGAACUCAUAUAAGACAGAAACCCUAUGGAUGUAAUGAAUGUGGAAAAUCAUUCUGUGUGAAGUCAAAACUCAUUGCACAUCAUAGAACAUACACAGGGGAGAAACCCUAUGAAUGUAA
Homo sapiens (human) is the source of this 2583-nucleotide long non-coding RNA. Ensembl annotates it as zinc finger protein 37B, pseudogene. Its record names the gene ZNF37BP. The record is from Ensembl. Lineage: Eukaryota; Metazoa; Chordata; Mammalia; Primates; Hominidae.